This 349-nucleotide ribosomal RNA is filed under the name uncultured bacterium. RNAcentral's name for it is "bacterial SSU rRNA". It matches the Rfam family "Bacterial small subunit ribosomal RNA", at positions 917 to 1267 of the family's 1533-position model. The record is from RNAcentral.
GGGCCCGCACAAGCGGUGGAGUAUGUGGUUUAAUUCGAUGCAACGCGAAGAACCUUACCAGGGUUUGACAUCCUGCGAAUCUCUUGGAAACAGGAGAGUGCCUUCGGGAACGCAGUGACAGGUGGUGCAUGGCUGUCGUCAGCUCGUGUCGUGAGAUGUUGGGUUAAGUCCCGCAACGAGCGCAACCCACGUCUUUAGUUGCCAGCAUUUAGUUGGGCACUCUAGAGAGACUGCCGGUGAUAAACCGGAGGAAGGUGUGGAUGACGUCAAGUCAUCAUGCCCCUUACAUCCUGGGCUACACACGUACUACAAUGCUACGGACAAAGGGCAGCAAACUCGCGAGAGCUAG